AGCGUUUGACAUGGUAGGACGGUUUCCAGAGAUGGAUUCCUUCCCUUACGGGACCUACACACAGGUGCUGCAUGGCUGUCGUCAGCUCGUGUCGUGAGAUGUUGGGUUAAGUCCCGCAACGAGCGCAACCCUCGUCUUUAGUUGCCAUCAUUUAGUUGGGCACUCUAAAGAAACUGCCGGUGAUAAGCCGGAGGAAGGUGGGGAUGACGUCAAGUCCUCAUGGCCCUUACGCGCUGGGCUACACACGUGCUACAAUGGCGGUGACAGAGGGCUGCAAACCCGCGAGGGUGAGCUAAUCUCCAAAAGCCGUCUCAGUUCGGAUUGUUCUCUGCAACUCGAGAGCAUGAAGGCGGAAUCGCUAGUAAUCGCGGAUCAGCACGCCGCGGUGAAUACGUUCCCAGGCC
Molecule: ribosomal RNA, 404 nt
Filed under: uncultured bacterium
Lineage: Bacteria
Description: bacterial SSU rRNA
Rfam family: Bacterial small subunit ribosomal RNA
Source: RNAcentral